GGACAAGAAACAUAAUGAGAGAAAGAACCAUCCUGGUCCUGGAUAGCACAUACGAGUAUUUAUCACAUCAAACAACAAUAAUUAGAAGGAUGUCUAGACCAUUAAUUGCAUGUUAUUUCAUUACUUUUGUUCAGAGAGUACAAUCUAACGCCACCUUAAUGAUUAACAAGAUCUCAGAGAUACAUAAAUAGUGGCUGCCUUGGAACUUUAGACCUCUUCUUCUUCUGCUGCUCCAUUAUUUCCUAAAUCUUCAAGCCAAUCGAAUUCACCAGACUCAAUCAAAGAAUCCAUGGAGGGAAACCUAAUUUCCUGCAUCGCAUCAUCCAAAACCAGGAGGGUUUUUUGAGAAUCUGGAGAUAACUGGGGAUGCUCACAUACAGUGUUGGUGUCACUAGCAGCUCCAUUAUCAAAAUUGUUUAGCAGAGAGAAAUCUGCAUUGAGCAACUCAGAUAGAAGCUGUUCAUCCAUCUCAAAAUCCAACAUUAAAUCAGACGAA
Molecule: unclassified non-coding RNA, 496 nt
Filed under: Hevea brasiliensis (rubber tree)
Lineage: Eukaryota; Viridiplantae; Streptophyta; Magnoliopsida; Malpighiales; Euphorbiaceae
Source: RNAcentral